Molecule: long non-coding RNA, 229 nt
Filed under: Mytilus galloprovincialis (Mediterranean mussel)
Lineage: Eukaryota; Metazoa; Mollusca; Bivalvia; Mytilida; Mytilidae
Source: RNAcentral
CCCGGGGCAAAAAAGAGUAUAUUGAUAUUGUGCUCUCCAAAUGACGUGACGUCAUUGCGUCCUUAACGACAAUGGCUAACAAUGACAGUGCAAAAUUCUCGCGUUUAUAUAUUGCCAUAUUCCAAAUUUCUCGCGUUUGUGUAUUGCCAUAUUCCAAAACUCCCGCGUUUGUGUAUUGCCAUGUUCUAAAAUAAGUGGAAAUGUGACAAUAAAUUUCUAUGGAGUAAAU